ACAGCCAUACCAUGCUGAAUAUACCGGUUCUCGUUAGAUCACCGAAGUCAAGCAUCAUUGGGCGCGGUCAGUACUUGGGUGGGUGACCACCUGGAAACACCGCGUGCCGUU
This 111-nucleotide ribosomal RNA is filed under the name Caerostris darwini. The record is from RNAcentral. Lineage: Eukaryota; Metazoa; Arthropoda; Arachnida; Araneae; Araneidae.